Molecule: long non-coding RNA, 981 nt
Organism: Dreissena polymorpha
Lineage: Eukaryota; Metazoa; Mollusca; Bivalvia; Myida; Dreissenidae
Exons: 3
Source: RefSeq, a predicted model, not a curated record
GUGCCGUGUUUAAUUAUCUAUUUGAAGUUACAGUCAUGUGAUGUAGGGUCAUACAUUUUAACUGUGGUAGCACAUGGUAUUCUUUUGAAACAAUACAAUAUAUGUAACGCGGCUAAAAUAAGUGUCAAGGAUUUAAAACAAGAUUACACCAUAUUGACAUCGGACCGUAAUGGAAGAAUGUCGCAGGCGACUCCUGUCUCUUCCAAGCGUGUCACGCUUAACGGAAACAAUCAUUUUCUGGUUGACGUUUAUAAUAUUGCGCAAACAAACGCGUCAACACUGGCGACGGAAGAUCGUAUGAACAGAACUUCCGGUACUGGUCGUGAUCGGGAUUACAAUGUAUGGGAAGCAUCACGUGACGUGGAGAAUCCGUCGCAGUUACCGGGGGAGGCUAGCGUACCGCCGAAUAAAAACGAUGCGUAUUCUACUGAAAAGCGAUCAUAAUAGCAAAUGGCAGUGCCACGCGUAGUGAUGACACUCGGUCGGCGAGUUGGAAACAAGAUGAGGAAGAUCAUGGUGGAACGCGAAGCGCGUUUCGUAGGAGACCCGCGUCGUCGUUGUCAACUACUAGCAUCGAAAUUUUAAGCAGUUACAUGAACACGAAAGGGGCGGUGUGGCCGCUAUCGGAGGGAGACCUUGGGCCGGACGACCCGAACAACCCCGAUAACCGACCGAUCAUGUCCCGAGCGAGUUCCCGAGAGCCGACGGCGACAUCAAUGAGGCCGCCGAGGACGACGUAGAGGAGAAGCCGCUCGUUUGGCGAGAAUUGACACUUGAUCAGAUACUCGUGCUGUUUUUCACAAGCUUCACGAACCUGCUCGGUUUUCUGAGUCUGUCCAUUUUUGCGCCAUUUUUUCCGCUCGAGGCGGAUUUAAAGAACGUUAACACGACCAUUUCCGGUUGGAUAUUUGGCGUAUUCGCACUCGUCCAGUUUCUCAGCUCUCCACUGUUUGGACGAAUGGUUCGUACCCUGCUUAACCC